GUGCACCAGUCGCGAAACCUCCGCAAUACACGAAAGUGUGACGGGGCCAUCCCGAGUGCCGUCCGCUGAGGACGGCUUUUCCCCAGUAUACACAGCUGGGGGAAUAAGGAGAGGGCAAGCCUGGUGUCAGCCGCCGCGGUAAUACCAGCUCUCCGAGUGGUGGGGACGCUUAUUGGGCCUAAAGCAUCCGUAGCCGGCUGGGCAAGUCCUCCGUUAAAUCCAACGAUUCAAUCGUUGGGCUGCGGGGAUACUGUCCAGCUUGGGGGCGGGAGAGGCCGACGGUAUUCCCGAGGUAGGGGUGAAAUCCUAUAAUCCCGGGAGGACCACCAGUGGCGAAGGCUGUCGGCUAGAACGCGCCCGACGGUGAGGGAUGAAAGCUGGGGGAGCGAACCGGAUUAGAUACCCCGGUAGU
RNAcentral lists this ribosomal RNA (412 nucleotides) under uncultured microorganism. Its description in RNAcentral is "bacterial SSU rRNA". It matches the Rfam family "Archaeal small subunit ribosomal RNA", at positions 330 to 745 of the family's 1478-position model. The record is from RNAcentral.